Unclassified non-coding RNA from Otolemur garnettii (small-eared galago), 101 nucleotides. It matches the Rfam family "Y RNA". From Rfam's summary of the family: Y RNAs are components of the Ro ribonucleoprotein particle (Ro RNP), in association with Ro60 and La proteins. The Y RNAs and Ro60 and La proteins are well conserved, but the function of the Ro RNP is not known. The record is from Ensembl. Lineage: Eukaryota; Metazoa; Chordata; Mammalia; Primates; Galagidae.
GGCUGGUCUGAGUGGAGUGGUAUUUACUACUAAUUGAUCACAACCAAUCACAGAUUCUUUUGUUCCUUCUCCACUCCACUGCUUCACUUGACUGACCUUAC